This 6630-nucleotide long non-coding RNA is filed under the name Setaria italica (foxtail millet). Its description in RNAcentral is "long non-coding RNA (SITA_LNC005191)". The record is from RNAcentral. Lineage: Eukaryota; Viridiplantae; Streptophyta; Magnoliopsida; Poales; Poaceae.
UUAAUAUCUUCAUUGUCAAAUAUAUGCGCUAUAAAUAUAAAAAUAUAUUUCAUGUUCUAUCUAAUAAAUUACGUAUUUUUUCUAUUAACUUAGUCAAAGAUAAAUUAAAGAAGUUUGAUUUACAAUAAAACAACUUAUAAUUUAGGAUGGAGAGAGUAAUAAUAGUUAACCUCCACUAAACGGUACGCAGGGACCCGAAGGACAUGUUGGUUUCUAUGUGGCAGUUCUCCAGGAGGAUUCAACCAGACCUUGAAUUAUCCGACCUGUUGGAGGCAGCCUGCGACGGCAGCUGCCUGAGCGGCCCCAUCUGGGACCAUGUCCUCGGCUACUGGAAUGCCAGCAAGGCGAGCCCGGAGACGGUGAUGUUCCUGAGAUAUGAGGAGAUGCUUCAGGACCCCGUCAGCAAUGUCGUCAAGCUGUCGCGGUUCCUGGGACGGCCGUUCUCGCCGGCCGAGGAGGAGGCGGGGGUCGCCAUGGACGUGAUGAGGCUGUGCAGCUUCGAGAAGCUGAAAGAUCUGGAGGUGAACAAGGCAGGCUCAGGCUCAGGAUCGCCAUCCCUGCGAGGCGUUCGUGAAGGUGCCUUCGUGAACAGCUCCUACUUUAGGAGAGGCGAGGCGGGAGACUGGACGAACCAUAUGACGCCGGAGAUGGCCCGGCGUCUCGACGCUGUCAUGGAAGAGAGGCUCUGCGGAUCAGGCUUCUCCUUCUCCUGAUCGAUCGGUCAUCGGCGUACCCUGUUUGUGUCAUCACACGAUGAACCGAUAAAGAUUUCCGCAAGCCAUCAACUGCCUCUUCAUUCUCAUGCAUGCACCUCUUAUUAGUUAGAUGCCUGAUAAAUGCACACUGCUGCGAACAGAUCCAUAGUUGACGAUGAGCUCUAGAUGAUAAUAUUACUCCUGAAUUGCUCCAUAAUUCUAUUCAGGAAUUUCUCUUAAUAUAUUGAUACACAGCUCUCCUGCAUGUUCGAGAAAAAAAAUUAUAUUCCUGAUGAAAAUAUAGCAGGAGACAAUGAGGCAGUGCAAUAUAUAAAAUUAUUUGGCAACUUGUGUGUACAUCCUUUUUCCUGCUAAGUGCCCCAACCCAAAUCACUUGGAAUUUCAAGAAAAAGUUUAGAUCAAUACCAGUUUCCUUCUGCUUGUGUUGAUAGUGAUUGAAUUGCAACCGAUUGUACAUAUCUUAAAUCAAUGUUUUGGUAUGUACUGUGUAUGUACAAUUCCUUAAGUGUCAACCUAGCUAAGAAACUGAUGGCAACCGAUGCUCUUUUUCCCAUCAAUGGGUACGUACACCAUGGUCCAUGAAAACGUUUUUGGGUUCCGAUUGAAUGGGCAACUUGGUCUUGGUGCGGGUACAAAGAUUAGACGUUGACGAUGAGCUCUAGAUGAUAGUAUUACUCCUGAAUUGCUCCAUAAUACUAUUCAGGAAUUUCUCUUAAUAUAUUGAUACACAGCUCUCCUGCAUGUCUGAGAAAAAAAUUAUAUUCAUGAAGAAAAUAUAGCAGGAGACAAUGAGGCAGUGCAAUAUAUAAAAUCAAUUUGGAAAGUUGUGUGUCCAUCUUAUAUUAUGCAUCAAUACAUACACUUAGAUAGUGCAUAACAAAAAUUAUACAUCUAGAAAAACUAAAACGACCUACAAUUUGGAACGGAGGGAGUAGGAACGGAGAGAGUAGAUAGAUAGAUAGAGAGCGAGCACACUUUUAAGGUCAGAAGAACCUGCUUCAUAAAGAUGCUUAACACAACACCUAGUUCCAGUGGAUAGUACAAUGCAUAUUAAUCCUCAAUCCUGAAAAGAAUUCAUUUUUUCGGAUGGAGGGAGUAGAUGCUACUUAGGAUUUUUUUUUCUGAUUUGGUGGUAAAUAUUGAGAGAAAAAAACUAUAUCAAAGAUAGCUUGGGCAUGGAAUCUAACUAUUGGAAACCGCACAACAACAUUUGGGUGGACUUUUCAUACUCCUUCCGUCCCAAAAAGGAAUGACAUUCUAGGAUUCAAAAUUUAUCCAAAAAGAACGAUGUUCUAGGAUUUAAAUCUUAUGCAUGCAUAAUGUGGCGUGUUGAUCUUGUGCAUGCAUAAUUAAAAGGAAACAUAUUCCUCCAUUUUCUAUAUACAAACUGAAAGGUACAUGUGUCAUUUUCAUUCACUCCUAAUCUGUCUGAAAAUCCCAAAAAAUCAUUAAUUUUUUUGGACGGAGGGAGUAUGACACAAAGAAUGCAUGGAAAAUUGCAAGGCCAGGGACACCCAAUUAGGCAAUUACUACAUGAAAAUAUCUUCCUCCAGGAAACCACGCAAAGCUUAGAGUCUAGUUGAUCAGGUAUACAAUUAUCUGCAAUUUUCCAAAUAAGACACUUACCUUUGAAGGAGUAGGAGCUUGUCAAACUGAUUUCCACAUUUUUCUUUCACCAUCACUCCAUCAGGACCAUGAUGCCUCAUGCCUCACCUGGUAAAAAAAGGCCAGUUAUAAGAACUUUAUAACUGAAAACAGUCCCGAUUUCUCAUAGUUCCAGGCACCCAUAUGAGGACACUGAAAUUGUGGGAUCUUGAAAAUGAUUUUUUUUUCGUUGGAAUAGUUGGUUCCUCGUUAAAUUCUCUAUAUGAAAAUAUAUUCAUACGCUUAGUCAUCAAGUAAUCAUUGAUGUUUAUGACUUUGUUUAUGCAAACAGGAGCCAAGAUAGGAGUUUAUAACUUCAGAGGUGGCAGGACAUUAACCGGAUGGGCUACAUGGCCGUAGUCCAACUUCAACUCACAAACAAAAGGGAACAAUGUUGAAUUCCGAAAGAGAUUGAAGAAACGGGAUCAACUAAACUAUGCGGCAGCGAAAAUCUGUAAAUUGCACAUAGUAUUAUGCUACUGCCUGCAUACUGGCUACUAUUCCAAUUUUUGGUGCGCAUGUGCGGAGUAUAGAUUAUUUGUAGGUUAUUACCAGCUGUGUUUCCAUUCUAUAUCUUCUUUUGUUGCUGUCUAGAAUAAAAUACAGCAGAUGUCUUUACCUUUUAGACUAUGCUUAUGAUGAUUUCCUUUCGUUCGUGUUCUCUUUUCCUUAUAUUUUGGUGAUUAGCGUUGGUGCUGAUAAUAUUGUAAGGACCUGGUUAUGUGCGGUCGGAGAGGCGGAGACGAUUCCAUUAUCUAAAAAAAGUUCCAUGCUAGAAUUAUUUUACCGUUGUUAGGAUGUGAUAGAGGUACUGUGAUUAUCGAAGGACUCAAAUGACGACCAGAGGGAAAGCUGAUAAAAAUUUCUUGGUCGAGGAAGAGAUUUGGCCUAUAUCUCAAUUUUGCCCCUACAUGCCUCUCUUCUAACAAUCGUCAAACUCACAUAGUAGUCAUAGUUACAUAGUCAUGAAGAUUAGCGGUUAGGCAGACACUCAGAUUGGUGCGGGCGAUGUAGCCAUGUCAGCAACCGAUGGAGCUGUUGAUCAAUCGGGAAAAAAAAAGAUAAGAGAAAUCCCCAUCUGAAGGUCACCGGGAAAACUUUGAUGGUGUGGUCGAUCCAUAGAUCUGCAUGGAAACCGGAGUGCAUGGAGCGAAAUAAUCCCUUGGUCCAAAUGGCCAAAACUCUCCUCCCUCUUGCCGUUUUCACCCAAAUUUCCCUCUCACCACGUUUGUAUGGACGACACACAAUUCGCUGGCCCGGAAGUAACACUCGAAAUUAAAAAAUUCUAGCAACUAGACAGAAACUAACAAAAGCAAGGAGGGUGGGUGAACAUUGAUCCAUGCAUGCCACUACACGUUGAGGGAGACCUGCUUGUUGCCAUCUGCACAUGCCUCACGCGGACGAUUGACUUGCAGGACAUGGCAGCAGCAGGAGGUAUAUGUGACAAGGGGAACACGGUGAGCAGUAGACACUUUUUUUUUGUGCAAAAAGCAGCAAGAGCAACAACUUUUGUGUUGUAUUUAGAGGCGUCUAACGUCUUGAUACAGUGAGCAUUGGCGUCUAAUCUCUAACUGGUACAUGUGUGCACCAAGAUGAUCAAUCGCAACAAAUAAAUAAUUUCGUUGUGUAGAUCAUUUGAUGGGAAAAGAUCUGUUGCAAUCAGUUUCUCGUUUUGAAACAUGCGGCAAGAACUUCACCGAUCUGGUAUUGACAGAGAAUACGCAAUAAGUUUCUCCCAUGCUUUCGAUUAGGAUCUGAAUUCAGUGGUCCAGUGAGAUGUGAGUGUAUUGUCUAUAUAUCUUCAUGUUUGGGCCUCCCGAAGAAUAACAAUCAUUGCUGGGGAAUGCACCUUCAAUACCGGGUUCAAACUUCCCUUAGUACCGAUUGUGCAACCGGUAUUGCUAUUUCAGUCCUAAAGGUAUCCCUUUUAGUACCGGAUCAACUGGUACUAAAGUGGCAAUAAAAAAAAAAGAAAAUCCGCCGACCGGAGGCUCGGCCGCACCCCGCCGUCCGCACAGCACUUGAGCCCCGCACCAGAGAGAGGGAGGGAGGGAGGGAGGCGGUGUACUUAUGCUGCUCAGCCACCGCCGCCGGUUGCCGCCGCCGCCGGAUCUGAGGAAGAGGUGGCCGCUACUCCAAGAUCCACAUGCUCCUUGCUCCGCCACGCCCUGCCGACACUCCGCCGCCUCACCGCGCCCUCCCUUCUUGCCUCCGCCGCUCCUUGCCCAGCCACCGCUCCUCACCACAUGUAAGAGGUGAGGGGCGAGCGGAGUGGGGAGGAGAGGGGCAGCGACGAGAGGGGCGGUGAUGGGAUCUGUGUGGAGGAAAGGGAGGGGAUUCAACUGGGGAGAGAGAGGGGAUUCAGCGGGAGAAGAAGAGAGAGAGAUGUAGGUGAGAGGAUGUGGGGACGAGCUAGCGGAUAAGUGUGGGGAGGGGGGUGAGCGUGGGGUGAGAGAAAGAAAGGGGGCUGACGCGUGAGGGGAGGUUGCGAUUUAGUACCGGGUGAAGCCUUUGCCCGGUACUAAAGGGGUCAUGAGGGGCUCCACGGGAACUGGCCAUUAGGCUCGGUCAUAAUGCUCACAUUAGUACCGGACCCAACGCAACUAGGACCGAGCCUCUCUUCUAACAAUAGUCAAACUCACAUAGUAGUCAUAGUUACAUAGUCAUGAAGAUUAGCGGUUAGGCAGACACUCAGAUUGGUGCGGGCGAUGUAGCCAUGUCAGCAACCAAUGGAGCUGUUGAUCAAUGGGAAAAAAAAAGAGAAGAGAAAUCCCCAUCUGAAGGUCACCGGGAAAACUUUGAUGGUGUGGUCGAUCCAUAGAUCUGCAUGGAAACUGGAGUGCAUGGAGCGAAAUAAUCCCUUGGUCCAGAUGGCCAAAACUCUCCUCCCUCUUGCCGUUUUCACCCAAAUUUCCCUCUCACCACGUUUGUAUGGACGACACACAAUUCGCUGGCCCGGAUGUAACACUCGAAAUUAAAAAACUCCAGCAACUAGACAGAAACUAACAAAAGAAAGGAGGGUGGGUGAACAUUGAUCCAUGCAUGCCACUACACGUUGAGGGAGACCUGCCUGUUGCCAUCUGCACAUGCCUCACGCGGACGAUUGACUUGCAGGACCAUCACCACUACGCAACACUUUGCAAGUUAAAUCUCGAAGAGGAUAGCAUAGCAAACCAACAAAUUAAAACAAGGAAAAUCCAGGCAUUUGGAAGAAGAGAGUGAAAACCGUACAAGUGAAAAUCGUUCGGCAUUCAUGCAUACAAACCCUAGCUAAGGAGGUUCGCAGGAAGCUAGGCUGGCUAGCUAGCAUGGCUAAUGUUACUGCCUGCACCGGCCCGGCUACUGUACUCUCUGGACUACCUGCGCCGGUGCCAUUCAAGGACGUCGGCGGCGGCGACGGUGAUGCCGGGCAGCAGGACGCCGACGCCUCAGCGCCGGAGGAGUACGCGAGCGCCGUCAUCUCCGACCUCCCGAGCAACCCGAAGCUGUUCCUGCGCCGCUACCAGGGCACGUGGGUGCUGGAGUCAUGGGUGCCGGGGAUCGUCGCCAUCCAGCGGGGCUUCGCGCCGCGCGGCGGCGACGUCAUCCUCGCCAGCCCGCCCAAGUGCGGCACCACGUGGCUCAAGGCCCUGGCCUUCGCCACCAUGGCGCGCGGCGUUCACCCACCGGCCGGCGACCCCGGGCACCCGCUCCUCCGCGUCAACCCGCACGACUGCGUCCCCUUCAUGGAGAAGCUCUUCGCCGCCGGGCUGGGGAGCAAGGUCAUGGACGCGCUGCCGUCGCCGCGGCUCAUGGCCACGCACAUGCACCACUCCGUCCUGCCGGCCUCCAUCAAAAAGAACCCCGACUGCAAAAUCGUCUACAUAUGCAGGUUAUAUAACUUAGCAGUUUAGGAUGAUUAAUUCUAGAUAGUAUUUCUAGUCCAUCGGCAAAUGUGCUAUUCUUUCCGUUCCAAGUCACUUUAAUUUUAUCUUAAAUUAAAUUUGUCUAACUUUGAUCAAUUUUUUAUAAAAAAAUAUAUUAAUAUCUUCAAUGUCAAAUAUAUGCACUAUAUAUAAAAAUAUAUUUCAUGUUCUAUCUAAUAAAUUAUGUAUUUUUUCUAUUAACUUAGUCAAAGAUAAAUUAAAGAAGUUUGGUUUACAAUAAAACAACUUAUAAUUUAGGAUGGAGAGAGUAAUAAUAGUUAACCUCCACUAAACGGUAUGCAGGGAUCCGAAGGACAUGUUGGUUUCUAUGUGGCAGUUCUCCAGGAGGAUUCGACCAGACCUUG